This is an RNA transcript of Cygnus olor (mute swan), 4346 nucleotides long. It is a transcript of the gene named inhibitor of growth family member 5, with no coding region annotated. The record is from RefSeq and is a predicted model, not a curated record. NCBI's taxonomy places the organism in Eukaryota, Metazoa, Chordata, Aves, Anseriformes, Anatidae. The transcript is spliced from 9 exons.
UGAAUACGCAACGCGUGGCGGCCAAUGGGCGCGGGCGGCUCAUGAAUAUGCGAUGAGGUCGAGGCCGCGGCCCGUGCGCGGCGGGGCCGGCCGGCGGCGGAGCGGGGCGGGGCGGGCGGCACAAGAUGGCGGCCGCCAUGUACCUGGAGCACUACCUGGACAGCAUCGAGAACCUGCCCUGCGAGCUGCAGCGCAACUUCCAGCUGAUGCGGGAGCUCGACCAGCGGACGGAAGAUAAGAAAGCAGAAAUUGACAGUCUUGCAGCAGAAUACAUUGAAUCUGUGAAGAACAUGUUGCCCGAGGAGCGAGUGGAACACCUGAAAAAAAUCCAGAGUGCCUACAGUAAAUGUAAAGAGUACAGCGACGAUAAAGUACAGCUGGCCAUGCAGACAUACGAGAUGGUGGAUAAGCAUAUCCGCCGGCUGGAUGCAGACUUGGCACGGUUUGAAGCAGAUCUGAAAGAUAAACUGGAAGGCAGUGACUUUGAAAACCCUGGAGCACGAAGCCUGAAAAAGGGACGAAGUCAAAAAGACAAAAGAGGCUCUCGUGGUCGAGGCAGGCGAACAUCUGAAGAAGAUACACCAAAGAAAAAGAAACUCAAAGGAGGCUCUGAGUUUGCUGAUACCAUCCUGUCAGUGCAUCCCUCAGAUGUCCUAGACAUGCCAGUGGACCCCAACGAGCCCACCUACUGCUUGUGUCACCAGGUGUCGUACGGAGAAAUGAUCGGCUGUGACAACCCAGAUUGCCCAAUUGAAUGGUUCCACUUUGCUUGUGUGGAUCUCACCACCAAACCAAAAGGGAAAUGAACACAGCGUGAUGGGAAUAAUCGUAAGCGUGCAAGUGCAUAGAGCAGUAGGUCACUGCAUUCCAAUCAGAUACUGAAGUAAACCGGUGAUAGCAUGGAGCUGAAGUUUAAUGGCUAGCCACUGAGUUAAAUGCUGAUUGUUUCAGUUUUGUCCACGUUGUGUUCAGGAAAGAAAGAAAAAGAAGUAAGGAGUAGAGGGGAAUACGUCCUCUGAGGCUAGAAGAGUUUUUUAAUAUAUUCCUUCCUUCAAGUUGCAAUAUCAUCUUUUUGAUUUUGAUUUUAAAACCUACCCUCUUCCUUUUUCUGAUACGAUAUUUAAUUGUCCAGUGGCCAGUUGUAAUUCCUGUUCUUUUGUAAGAAAAUGACUGUGGGAGGGAGGGAAUCUGCCACAGGGAUUUUAUUUAUGUUACACUUGCACAACACUGUAAUCAGUGUUACUAUGAAGUGUUAAGGCAGCCAGUAGCUGUAAGUCUGCUAGUUUAUAGGAGUCUGUGAAACCACGUAAGGUGUUGCAGGCACAUGAGAUACCUGUAACUUCAUGGCGCAUCGCCAUCACUGAAGUCGUUCAGUUACCUGGAGCUUAGCGUGGUAGAGAAAAAGGAAUUGUCUCUAUUGUAGCCUGCAGAAGAGGAAUAGUUUUGGUGUGAAGUCCACUUGUUCUGCAGUUUUGUUGUACAGAGGAACAAGAAAGCUGGUCAGCUGUUUCCAAUGUCUGUUUCCUCAAAGCCAAAUACUGUGCUUAGUUUUGACAGGGUAGGGAUGGGACGGAGAUAAGACCGUAUCUUCUCUUCUGGGGAAUUUCUUCUGUCUAACUUUGCACUGCCAUUAUUUUACUUGAUCUUGCUUGCGUUCAUGUGAACCUUAAGAGAAGCAAAACAUCUGGCUUUUUGCCUCCUAUAAAAGGUUUGUCUCUUCUGGGACAAGAGCUUUAAAUCUCACAGGAAUUGUCCUGCAGUGUUUCUUAGUGACAGUAGUAUUGAGAGAGUGAGUUACCUUUCCUGUCAGUUUUCAUUUCUUUGGAAAUUCUUUAAGUAUAUUACUGUGAAGUUGAAACCUAGAGUAUUGUUAUAGAGGGUCUGAUUUAUUCAUAAAAGAAGAUGAAGGCCUUAUUUUUAUUACUUGUGUAUGCCUGUGUUGCACCUCAGUAAAUCAGGAAAAGAAGCUUUAAGGGAAUCCUCUGCAAGGAUAACAUGUACAUUCCUGUGAUGGUGCGGCAAAGCUGAAAGAAGGGUGGCCGUUAGGUAGCUUGGUGGAGGUUGUGGUGUUUUAAUAGAAUUUGCUAUGAAGCUGUCUUAUUGAAGAAGGCAAUUCAGUAGGAAUGUUUUAAAAUGACGUCUUGCCUUCUUAGUAGGGGCAUAUUUGCCUGUUCUUGACUUCUUUAAGCUGCCUUUCAGAUCUUAAAUGUGAAUCCUUGCUGUCAUCACCGUGCCAGUUGCUGCAGCAGAAGGAUGAGAAGGAAAUCAGUAAUAGGAAAACUAAAGUCUUUUUGCGUGUGGUUUUUUUUUCCCUCCUUUGAGUUAUAGCAGAUUCAGAACCUGAGGGAAGAACAGAGAUAAGUAUUGUCUUUAGAUGUAUCCUGGAUUAUUGGGCUUAAUUGCCUACACAAAAAUGUUGUCGGUAAAGGUUUUUCUGCUAGGGGAGGGAGAAAACACCAAAACCCUGCAGCAGUACAGACCAGGGUUCAUGAACUCUUCCGGCUGUGGUCUGUGAUGGGUGUUUAUGGCAGCUCUGUGCAGGGUUGUGUGUUACUUGGCAUACCAUUGUGCGGAGCUCUUGGUGCAGACUGUUGGAAAUCCUUCCAGAUAAGCUUUUCUUCUGCUUUAAAAGCAAUCUGAAUAAACAGUACAGAGGGGGGUGGGGGGAAAAAAAAACAAAACAACAACACUGUUCUAGUUGGACUUUGGCAACAGCUUCUGAAAGAACUUUGUUGUUGUUUUUUGGUUGUUUUUUCUUGCCCUGGCCCUCUUACUUGUGCUUUGCAGUGAAAGUAGAACACAGCUCUUGCCUGUUUUCCUUUCCUGCCUUGCUCUGCUGGGUUUUGUAGAUGCUACAGGUGUGUAAGGACUCUUGCAGAAGAAACAUUUUGAUACUGAGACAGGUUUUCUGUGAACGUUUUGAUUUAUUGCAUCCGCUAUGCAAAAAGACCUGUCUCCAGGGCCCUCUCGUUUGAAAUGUGAUGUUGUACAUGUCCUUGUUAGGUUGCAUCACUCCAUGCUGUAUAUGAAGUUUCCAUAGUUAUGUUUACAAGACAAUGUACGUUUCUCAUUGUUGUCAUUGUAAAAGCACCCCAAAACCACACAGACAAAUUAGAAACGGAUUGAGGGUGAGAGGGGGAGAAGAAGCACAAUCAUGCAAACCUGAUCAUAGAAAUACAGUCAGCCCUCUUAUUUCUGCCUCUGUUUUGAGAGUAAAUUCAAUUGUGAUACCUCAUGAGCCAGCCUGUAAUUCAGUAACCAGUGGGUGAGACCUGUACCUCAUUGAUCUGCUACACUGGAUUAAUGUAAGAGUGUAACCGUGUCCUGAAGGCUAGUGGUGAUGCUGUUUCACGUUUUAUUUUCCCUUUCCAUCCAAUGGUAUUGUAAAAAUUUUUUCCCCUUCUCCUAAGGCUUUAAUAGUAGUGCUAUCACCAUAGAUUAAGCAUUUGAUUUGAAACAAUCUCAAAGUUAGAUUGCGCCUCUUUGGAGGUCUUGCUGGAAACAUGCAAGUAUGGAAAUGUGCAGCUGUGGAUGAAUAAGAGCAAAGCUAGCUGCCCUAAACUCAGAAACGAUGGUCAGGUAGGACAGCAAAUUUUUUGUUAGCAAGUGCUUUCCUGGGCUCAGAAGAACAGAUGUUUUCCAUUUUAACCAGCAAAGCAAAAAAAAAAAAAAAGUGCUAGAAGUUUGCAUCAGUCUUCAAAAGGAAAGAUGCUUCUUCACUAGGAAUCAUGAGCAAAGCUGAGGUGAUCCACGCUCUUCUUUACACUGGGACAUCUCCAACGUGUCUGCCCAUCGCACCGGCACCAGCAAUAGACUGUCCUGUCGCCAACAUACCAGCACAGAGCCUCUAGCUGCUGUCACAGGCUCAAGAGCAUCUGUUGGCUGUUUACACCUGGGUUUAGAGAUCUUUAGAGACUCUUGUAGAUGGAAAUACCAGUAGCCUUCAUUUUUGGUCACUAAAGAGUUUAAAUCUUUCUCCUGAAUUUUGAAUGUACGGCGUUAAAUCUGCUUUAAGGAGAAGGAUGAACAAGACUGUGAUACUUAAAGGAAUGUUCCACUAAAGAUUGUCGAAACACCUGCGUACACUGUGGUGUUCAGCUUUAUCGCAGCUCAUCCAAACUGGAGGUGACGCAACUUUAACCCGAUUUUUCUAUUUUUUUAAAGAAUCCGACCUGUGUUCCCUUUGUAAAUGGAAGAGACUAUAAAGCUUUUUAUUAAAAAAAAAAAAAAAAAAAACACAAAAAACCAUCAAACAAGAAUGUAAAGUAAAAUCUUUAUCUGUAUUUUUGGAUCUUGUCAUAGAUGAUGGCUAUAUUGAUUUACAAAUAAAGUAUUUUUGGGAACAA